CGGCGGACGGGUGAGUAACACGUGGAUAACCUACCUAUAAGACUGGGAUAACUUCGGGAAACCGGAGCUAAUACCGGAUAAUAUAUUGAACCGCAUGGUUCAAUAGUGAAAGACGGUUUUGCUGUCACUUAUAGAUGGAUCCGCGCCGCAUUAGCUAGUUGGUAAGGUAACGGCUUACCAAGGCAACGAUGCGUAGCCGACCUGAGAGGGUGAUCGGCCACACUGGAACCGAGACACGGUCCAGACUCCUACGGGAGGCAGCAGCC
Molecule: ribosomal RNA, 266 nt
Filed under: uncultured Staphylococcus sp.
Lineage: Bacteria; Bacillati; Bacillota; Bacilli; Caryophanales; Staphylococcaceae
Description: partial 16S ribosomal RNA
Rfam family: Bacterial small subunit ribosomal RNA
Source: RNAcentral